This 489-nucleotide ribosomal RNA is filed under the name uncultured bacterium. RNAcentral's name for it is "partial 16S ribosomal RNA". It matches the Rfam family "Bacterial small subunit ribosomal RNA", at positions 28 to 507 of the family's 1533-position model. The record is from RNAcentral.
GAUGAACGCUAGCGGCAGGCUUAAUACAUGCAAGUCGUGGGGCAGCAGGACUGUAGCAAUACAGUUGCUGGCGACCGGCAAACGGGUGCGGUACACGUACGCAACUUACCCUGAACUGGGGUAUAGCCCGGGGAAACCCGGAUUAAUACCCCGUAAUAUAAUGGAGUGGCAUCACUUUAUUAUUAAAGCUCCGGCGGUUCGUGAUGGGCGUGCGGCUGAUUAGGUAGUUGGUUGAGGUAACGGCUCACCAAGCCUACGAUCAGUAACUGGUGUGAGAGCAAGACAAGUCACACGGGAACUGAGGCACGGACCCGAAUCCGACGCGAGGGAGCAGUAAGGAAUAUUGGGCGAUGGAGGCAACUCUGACCCAGCCAUGCCGCGUGGAGGAUGAAGGGCAUCUGGGUUGUAAACUUCUUUUAUAGGGGACGAAAACGGUGUAUUCUUACGCAGUUGACGUUACCCUAGGAAUAAGCACCGGCUAACUCCGUG